GAAAUGCGAUAAGUAAUGUGAAUUGCAGAAUUCAGUGAAUCAUCGAAUCUUUGAACGCGCAUUGCGCCCGCCAGUAUUCUGGCGGGCAUGCCUGUUCGAGCGUCAUUUCAACCAUCAAGCCCCCGGCUUGUGUUGGGGACCUGCGGCUGCCCGCAGGCCCUGAAAAACAGUGGCGGGCUCGCUGUCACACCGAGCGUAGUAGCAUACAUUCUCGCUCAGGGCGUGCUGCGGGUUCCGGCCGUUAAACGACCUUCAUAACCCAAGGUUGACCUCGGAUCAGGUAGGAAGACCCGCUGAACUUAAGC
Molecule: unclassified non-coding RNA, 305 nt
Filed under: plant metagenome
Description: partial contains 5.8S ribosomal RNA, internal transcribed spacer 2, and large subunit ribosomal RNA
Rfam family: 5.8S ribosomal RNA (bases 1-105)
Source: RNAcentral